Molecule: long non-coding RNA, 1249 nt
Filed under: Anser brachyrhynchus (Pink-footed goose)
Lineage: Eukaryota; Metazoa; Chordata; Aves; Anseriformes; Anatidae
Description: lncRNA (ENSABRG00000009883.1)
Source: RNAcentral
CAAAAGGAAGCCCCAGAGGAAACAGAUUAUUUGUUUUACUUUUCUGCUCCCUAUUUCUCUCUGUUAAUUUGAAGCUUGUGUCCUCUCUUCUGCAUGUCCAAGACAGCACCGUGCUGCCUUGCUGAUGUUGGAUCUCAUUGCUCCCAGGGCUUCGCUCUCGUCUUUGCCAGCUUCAUCCUUCCCCUCUGUCACUCAGCCUCUUCCCCUCAUGUCCUCAUUUGACCUUCAUCUUUGAACUGAGCCCUUCAUUUGCUGUGAUGCUCACUUCCUCGACCUCAUCUUCAGUCAAGUGCUGUGCUCUCUGUUCCUGACAUCUCCAUCCAAGUCUCCGUGGUGUGCCAUAGUGGCAGUCCCUCUUUGCAAACCAUCUCAGACUUGUUAUGACACUUAGGUUGUUAUUCUCUGACUUGUCUGGUACUUGACGUCUCCUCCUUUCCUUGCUAACCUUGCUGUUUUCCCUCACUUUGCGGUUUCCACUUUUCCUUCCUCCUCAGCUUCUACCGAUGGUCUUUCCUGGAACGCAGCUCCCGCUCCCAGCCCUCUCCUCUCUAGCUGCAGUUGUUCUUUCUCUUCAGUCCUUGCUCAUUCUCAGCUAUUGUUUUCUGUUUUCAGCUUCCCCAAUAAUCUAAAUGCAACCCUUUCUGGCAGAGGCCAUGGUCUACAUUCCUCAGUGUUACGUUGGUAUAAAUAAAGUAAGUCUAUUGACCUUGACUGUGUUAGUGGAGAUUUAUACCAGCAGGACAUGUUUAUCUCUAUAAGCAUAUUAGUCAUGUUUCCCCCAAACUGCUGUUUAAAGAGCAUUAAGAGGUAGCGUUCAGAGCACUUACUUGCUCUAAAAUGACACUACAGGAUGAGUUUGCUGAAAAUUUUAUUUAUUUGUUUUCUGCUUUCUAUCUAUUUACUUUAGUCUUAGUAAAUGGUUCACUCAGGUUUCACAUCAAUAAAAAAAGACAAGCUCUCCAUAGACAGAUGUUUUCGAGUGUUGACAGAACCCUUUGUGCCUUGCUGCACUCCUGGCUCUCAGGCUCCCCGUGCCCAGCUCUGCUGACUUCAUCCCGUACCACUUCCUACAAUUCCAGUUCUUCAUCCCGUGCCCAGCUCUGCCAACUUGCAUCGUUCCUGGCUGACAGUAUCCCCUUCAAUUCAAGUGUGAGCACAUGUGCCAACAGGGGAUGGAAAUUUAAAUAAGCAUGCACAAAACACUUUUUAGCAAAAACUUAAAAAAAAAAUAAAUUCAAAAAAAGCUGCA